Non-coding RNA from Vicugna pacos (alpaca), 407 nucleotides. The record is from RefSeq and is a predicted model, not a curated record. NCBI's taxonomy places the organism in Eukaryota, Metazoa, Chordata, Mammalia, Artiodactyla, Camelidae.
UGGUCUAUGACCUCACUCUCGGUGCCCCACCUCUUAUUACAGAUUGAACAGGGUCCAGGGGGAAGGACCAAGCCUGUCCCAUCGGCCAUCCUAUGUGUCAUGUCCUGGGACCCAGUGGAUGCUCAGCACCUGAAGAAGAAGAUUGUCUUAGACACAUGAAAGGUGAGGACGCCUACUGUCCCCUCGGAACCCAGGUGGGGCUGGGAGUCUGCUGUUUGUACAGCUGGUGGGCUCGUGUUGCUUUGGGCAUCCCUGUGCCUGAAUUCCUGCAGUACACUUGGUGGUUUUACCUGAACCACCAGCUUCUGUAUCUCUGAAGACAGAUGAUGAGGACCCUUCACGUAAGCCGUUGGCACAGCCCUGUGCAGGCCUCUGUGCUGCACGGUCUGCCCAGCGAGGUGACCGAG